CUGUGAAAAUAUCUUUAAGUACUCAAGAAGAACUAAGUAUUUGUUCUUAAUUUAUAGAAGGAUCAAAGCUAGGAGUGAAAGGAUAUAUCAAUUCAGAUUUUAUGUCUUUCAUUGAUGGUAAAAUAUCUACAUCAUAGGGUGUAUUCUUGUAUCGAUAUUUUAGAAGGGUUCCAAAUAAUCAAUCGAUGGAAGCUGAGUGCACUAUAGAUG
Molecule: long non-coding RNA, 210 nt
Filed under: Elaeis guineensis (African oil palm)
Lineage: Eukaryota; Viridiplantae; Streptophyta; Magnoliopsida; Arecales; Arecaceae
Description: long non-coding RNA (EGUI_LNC065387)
Source: RNAcentral